RNAcentral lists this ribosomal RNA (537 nucleotides) under Pleosporales sp. L-30. RNAcentral's name for it is "eukaryotic LSU rRNA". The stretch from base 187 to 340 matches the Rfam family "5.8S ribosomal RNA". The record is from RNAcentral. Lineage: Eukaryota; Fungi; Ascomycota; Dothideomycetes; Pleosporales.
AAGUCGUAACAAGGUUUCCGUAGGUGAACCUGCGGAAGGAUCAUUACCUAGAGUUUGCGGGCUUUGCCUGCUAUCUCUUACCCAUGUCUUUUGAGUACUUACGUUUCCUCGGUGGGUUCGCCCGCCGAUUGGACAAUUUAAACCCUUUGCAGUUGCAAUCAGCAUCUGAAAAAAAUUAACAAUUACAACUUUCAACAACGGAUCUCUUGGUUCUGGCAUCGAUGAAGAACGCAGCGAAAUGCGAUAAGUAGUGUGAAUUGCAGAAUUCAGUGAAUCAUCGAAUCUUUGAACGCACAUUGCGCCCCUUGGUAUUCCAUGGGGCAUGCCUGUUCGAGCGUCAUUUGUACCUUCAAGCUUUGCUUGGUGUUGGGUGUUUGUCUCGCCUUUGCGUGUAGACUCGCCUCAAAACAAUUGGCAGCCGGCGUAUUGAUUUCGGAGCGCAGUACAUCUCGCGCUUUGCACUCAUAACGACGACGUCCAAAAGUACAUUUUUACACUCUUGACCUCGGAUCAGGUAGGGAUACCCGCUGAACUUAA